This 301-nucleotide ribosomal RNA is filed under the name uncultured bacterium. Its description in RNAcentral is "partial 16S ribosomal RNA". It matches the Rfam family "Bacterial small subunit ribosomal RNA", at positions 509 to 807 of the family's 1533-position model. The record is from RNAcentral.
CAGUAGCCACGGGAAUACGAAGGGUGCAAGCGUUACUCGGAAUUACUGGGCGUAAAGCGUGCGUAGGUGGUGGUUUAAGUCCGUUGUGAAAGCCCUGGGCUCAACCUGGGAAUUGCAGUGGAUACUGGGUCACUAGAGUGUGGUAGAGGAUGGUGGAAUUUCCGGUGUAGCAGUGAAAUGCGUAGAGAUCGGAAGGAACAUCUGUGGCGAAGGCGACUAUCUGGGCCAACACUGACACUGAGGCACGAAAGCGUGGGGAGCAAACAGGAUUAGAUACCCGAGUAGUCCCUGUCUCUUAUAC